RNAcentral lists this long non-coding RNA (244 nucleotides) under Canis lupus dingo (dingo). RNAcentral's name for it is "lncRNA (ENSCAFG00020003215.1)". Lineage: Eukaryota; Metazoa; Chordata; Mammalia; Carnivora; Canidae. The record is from RNAcentral.
GGAGGAUCCCAGAAAAGGACUGAAGAUCACUUGGUAUGAGAGGUAGAAAAUCCUGGUAUCAAAUUCUGAAACCAUGGCUAAUGGCUGCAAACUGUGUGCUACAAUCUAUCCUCUGUUGGGGAGUUCACAUGAAUUCAACUUAAAGAAAACCCACUUAUUGGAAUAUUUGGAAAACAUGGAAAAGUGUAAAAAUGAAAAUAAAAAUUACCUAUAAUUGGAUAAAUCAGAGAUAAAUGCAGACAAC